Molecule: non-coding RNA, 28 nt
Organism: Myotis lucifugus (little brown bat)
Lineage: Eukaryota; Metazoa; Chordata; Mammalia; Chiroptera; Vespertilionidae
Source: Rfam
UCUCUGCUUCAACAGUGUUUGGACAGAA